RNAcentral lists this ribosomal RNA (279 nucleotides) under uncultured bacterium. RNAcentral's name for it is "partial 16S ribosomal RNA". It matches the Rfam family "Bacterial small subunit ribosomal RNA", at positions 74 to 353 of the family's 1533-position model. The record is from RNAcentral.
CUUGCUAAGUUUGGUGGCGACCGGCGCACGGGUGAGUAACACGUAUCCAACCUGCCGAUGACUCGGGGAUAGCCUUUCGAAAGAAAGAUUAAUACCCGAUGGCAUAGUUCUUCCGCAUGGUGGAACUAUUAAAGAAUUUCGGUCAUCGAUGGGGAUGCGUUCCAUUAGGUUGUUGGCGGGGUAACGGCCCACCAAGCCUUCGAUGGAUAGGGGUUCUGAGAGGAAGGUCCCCCACAUUGGAACUGAGACACGGUCCAAACUCCUACGGGAGGCAGCAUG